GUUCAGUUUGUUGAUUUUCUGAAGUUUUUAAAUUGGACUAUAACCGUGUAUAUUUUGCAGGGCCCUGUGAAGUUCAAUUUGUUUUGCUUUCCGAAGUUCAGUUUGUUGAUUUUCUGAAGUUUGGAUUGCUAAUUUUUUGAAGAGAAAGGUUGAUUCACUUACACUCCUCUAUCUAGUCCUGUGUGGUGAUAUCCUCGACUCCUUGGUUCGGAGCUAGAAGCGGUUCUUCAACUUCCCUGCUGUGUUGUCGCGAUUGUUGCUGAGACAAAUUUUAUACUUUGUUCAUCUACGGUGCCAAGUUGAGCGGACACCGUAGCACUCGAGAAGAUGGGGAGAGGAUGUGUGGUGAAGAGAAAACAUAGGGUUUCAAAUUUUCCAUUGGUGGUAGCAUCUAAUCAUUUUACCAAAGUGUAAUGGACAUGUGUAUGUAUGUAUAGUAGCAUAUUUUACUCGAACUGAGUUAUUUUUUU
Triticum urartu is the source of this 470-nucleotide non-coding RNA. Lineage: Eukaryota; Viridiplantae; Streptophyta; Magnoliopsida; Poales; Poaceae. The record is from RefSeq and is a predicted model, not a curated record.